Molecule: long non-coding RNA, 694 nt
Filed under: Melopsittacus undulatus (budgerigar)
Lineage: Eukaryota; Metazoa; Chordata; Aves; Psittaciformes; Psittaculidae
Description: lncRNA (ENSMUNG00000000778.2)
Source: RNAcentral
CUCCACAACCGAAUUGCCUGCAUUCAGAGAUGGUGCUGGGAACCUUCAGUACAGAGGUAUGCUUUGAAAUAAAGACACUCCCCUUGAUGCCACAACUAAAUUUUACUAGAAAAUUACAUUGCAAAUCAGCCUGUACUGUGAAAUCAAAUUCUGACCUGCUCUGCACAGGUGCAAACGUUUAAACAGUGCUGCACACCCGACAUAGAAGCACGGGGAGAUGGUGCUGGGUGUCAUCAGCAUACACUAUUUGCAAAGGUGGCACUGCCUUUGCUGUCACAACUAACUUUUCACCUACAUGAUCCUCUGAAACGAAACUGUGCUGGAAAACAGGUCUUGCUCCUAUCCUGCAUCCAAGGAUCAGCGUCAGAACUCUGCUCCACAACCGAAUUGCCUGCAUUCAGAGAUGGUGCUGGGACCUUCAGUACAGAGGAGCAUAUGGAUCGAACCUGUGCUGAUAAAGACGUCUUCUACAAUGCUGCGUAAAAGCAUCAUUUUCAGAACUCUGAUCCGCAAACGAAUUGCCUGCACUCAGAGAUGGUCCUGGGAACCUUCAGUACAGAGGUAUGCUUUGAAAUAAAGACACUCCUCUUGAUGCCACAACUAAAUUUUACUACAAAAUUUCAUUGCAAAUCAGCCUGUGCUGUGAAAUCAAAUUCUGACCUGCUCUGCACAGGUGCAAAUAUUUAAACAGUGC